CCUACGGGAGGCAGCAGUGGGGAAUAUUGGACAAUGGGGGCAACCCUGAUCCAGCCAUGCCGCGUGUGUGAAGAAGGCCCUCGGGUUGUAAAGCACUUUCAGUGAGGAAGAACGCCUGGUAGUUAAUACCCAUCAGGAAAGACAUCACUCACAGAAGAAGCACCGGCUAACUCCGUGCCAGCAGCCGCGGUAAUACGGAGGGUGCGAGCGUUAAUCGGAAUUACUGGGCGUAAAGCGCGCGUAGGUGGCUUGAUAAGCCGGUUGUGAAAGCCCCGGGCUCAACCUGGGAACGGCAUCCGGAACUGUCAAGCUAGAGUGCAGGAGAGGAAGGUAGAAUUCCCGGUGUAGCGGUGAAAUGCGUAGAGAUCGGGAGGAAUACCAGUGGCGAAGGCGGCCUUCUGGACUGACACUGACACUGAGGUGCGAAAGCGUGGGUAGCAAACAGGAUUAGAUACCCUUGUAGUC
This 465-nucleotide ribosomal RNA is filed under the name Vreelandella stevensii. RNAcentral describes it as "partial 16S ribosomal RNA". It matches the Rfam family "Bacterial small subunit ribosomal RNA", at positions 338 to 795 of the family's 1533-position model. The record is from RNAcentral. Lineage: Bacteria; Pseudomonadati; Pseudomonadota; Gammaproteobacteria; Oceanospirillales; Halomonadaceae.